UGGCACAGAUACUGGGAAAAGCAUUCCUUGCCACCACCAAAAACAUGCUCCUGUUCUCAUUCCUCCCAUCCUUACACCAGCACAAAUGACUGGGUGUGCUUAUACAGUGUGCAGCAAGAGAGCCGCACAGAUAAAAAUGGAAAGAAGGAGAGGAGGCAAAGGAAUAAUUUUCUGUCAGAUCAGAUCCUGCAUCCAGUUCACUACUUUGACACAUGAACAGAUUUUGGACACAUCUGAGCCUCGAGAGCAGGGAGCAUACAGACUGGCCAAAACACAACUCUGAAUUUGGCAGAAAUUCCCUAAGGAAAGAAUUCAUCCAGAUUUUUCUCCAAAUGCAGCAGAGCAUGUGGGGAUACUCUGAAAGAAUAUGGAGAGGGAUUUCACAUGGAAGGAACUAUGAAAAAAUGCAUACCAACUGAAAAAUUCCCAAGUAGUAAGUCACACAUGUGAUGACUCAGCUGGCCUAGGGAGCUGAAGCACUCAAAGCAUCUCUGUUUCAGGUAGACACUUGGACACAUGUCAGAUGUCCUUUCCACAACGGCAAGAGAGCAAGGAGCUUGUGAAGAGCUCACUAUCCAUUCUCACUAGGACAAACACAACAAAAUAGUAGAUUUUCUGAGACCAAGAAUAGAAAAUGAAGGCCCUUCCUUUCCUCUUUUCCUAUACUUACAUUUCUACCUACCCAAUGGAAUAUCUAACAUAACCAUGCUCAGUCUUCCAGAAACCUGAAUUUACAAUGUGGAGUUCAGCUACCUGAAAGCCCAGCAUCUAAACUUCCUUCUGGAAAUAAAAAUAAACCCCCAUAGUCCCCUAUCA
Molecule: long non-coding RNA, 816 nt
Filed under: Zonotrichia albicollis (white-throated sparrow)
Lineage: Eukaryota; Metazoa; Chordata; Aves; Passeriformes; Passerellidae
Description: lncRNA (ENSZALG00000004824.1)
Source: RNAcentral